GGCUCAGAUUGAACGCUGGCGGCAUGCCUUACACAUGCAAGUCGAACGGCAGCACGGGUGCUUGCACCUGGUGGCGAGUGGCGAACGGGUGAGUAAUACAUCGGAACGUACCUUAUCGUGGGGGAUAACGCAGCGAAAGCUGUGCUAAUACCGCAUACGCCCUGAGGGGGAAAGCGGGGGAUCGAAAGACCUCGCGCGAUUAGAGCGGCCGAUGCCUGAUUAGCUUGUUGGUGGGGUAAAAGCCCACCAAGGCGAUGAUGGGUAGGGGUCCUGAGAGGGAGAUCCCCCACACUGGUACUGAGACACGGACCAGACUCCUACGGGAGGCAGCAGUGAGGAAUAUUGGACAAUGGGCGCAAGCCUGAUCCAGCCAUGCCGCGUGCAGGAAGAAGCAUCUAUGGUGUGUAAACUGCUUUUGUACGGGAAGAAACACUCCUACGUGUAGGAGCUUGACGGUACCGUAAGAAUAAGGAUCGGCUAACUCCGUG
This 488-nucleotide ribosomal RNA is filed under the name uncultured bacterium. RNAcentral describes it as "bacterial SSU rRNA". It matches the Rfam family "Bacterial small subunit ribosomal RNA", at positions 21 to 507 of the family's 1533-position model. The record is from RNAcentral.